This 497-nucleotide long non-coding RNA is filed under the name Notechis scutatus (mainland tiger snake). Its description in RNAcentral is "lncRNA (ENSNSUG00000002920.1)". Lineage: Eukaryota; Metazoa; Chordata; Lepidosauria; Squamata; Elapidae. The record is from RNAcentral.
AUGCAACAUCAUGCUGGACGCCCCACCUCUUUCCAAAAGGGUGAAGAAAAAUGAAAUGCAACAUUCAAGGAAUAGCCUAGGGAUGCCACCAAAAUUAUACUCCACUAAUGAGGCUCCUUGGUCCUGGCAAACAGCCGACUAGGAAUUCAUGGACUUGUCCGCAUUUUGGAUUGGACUCAGGAGCUCAGAAGUCAACACUUCUCCACAACACUUUAGGAAGGUGCAGCUGCAUCUUCAAGAACAUCUUCUCGAGUAACUUCAGAGUUAUAACACAGUCUUCAGAGAGUAAUUAGGACUGCAGAAAAAAAAACAAUUACUACCAACCUGCCUUUAAUCGAGGACCUGUAUACUACGCGAGUCAAAAAGAGGGCUGUGAAAAUAUUUACAGACCCCUCACAUCCUGGACAUAAACUGAUUCAACUCCUUCCGUCAAAAUGAUGCUACAGAGCAUUGCACACCAGGACAACUAGACCCAAGGACAGUUUUUCCCUGAAUGC